RNAcentral lists this ribosomal RNA (506 nucleotides) under uncultured bacterium. Its description in RNAcentral is "partial 16S ribosomal RNA". It matches the Rfam family "Bacterial small subunit ribosomal RNA", at positions 29 to 523 of the family's 1533-position model. The record is from RNAcentral.
AGUGAACGCUGGCGGUAGGCCUAACACAUGCAAGUCGAACGGCAGCACAGGAGAGCUUGCUCUCUGGGUGGCGAGUGGCGGACGGGUGAGGAAUACAUCGGAAUCUACUUUUUCGUGGGGGAUAACGUAGGGAAACUUACGCUAAUACCGCAUACGACCUACGGGUGAAAGCAGGGGAUCUUCGGACCUUGCGCGAUUGAAUGAGCCGAUGUCGGAUUAGCUAGUUGGCGGGGUAAAGGCCCACCAAGGCGACGAUCCGUAGCUGGUCUGAGAGGAUGAUCAGCCACACUGGAACUGAGACACGGUCCAGACUCCUACGGGAGGCAGCAGUGGGGAAUAUUGGACAAUGGGCGCAAGCCUGAUCCAGCCAUACCGCGUGGGUGAAGAAGGCCUUCGGGUUGUAAAGCCCUUUUGUUGGGAAAGAAAUCCAUCUGGUUAAUACCCGGGUGGGAUGACGGUACCCAAAGAAUAAGCACCGGCUAACUUCGUGCCAGCCGCCGCGGUAA